This is a long non-coding RNA of Leopardus geoffroyi (Geoffroy's cat), 1464 nucleotides long. RefSeq lists it as uncharacterized. The transcript is spliced from 2 exons. Lineage: Eukaryota; Metazoa; Chordata; Mammalia; Carnivora; Felidae. The record is from RefSeq and is a predicted model, not a curated record.
UUGUUGGGAUGAGCACUGGGUGUUGUAUGGAAAACAAUUUGACAAUAAAUUAUAUUAAAAAAUAUAUAAAUAAACAAUUCUCCUUCAAGCAUCUUACAUUGUAACCAGACUACACUAUAUGCUGGUCUUUUCUCUGCAUUGGGUGGACAUCUGUUGUAUUUUCUGCUUGUCUUAAAGUGACACUACUCUUCCAUCCUUCUGGAAGAAGAACCUUUCUAUACUUUCAACCCAAGCCCUUCUGGUGCAGGAACUCCACUUCCUGGGGUGGGCAUGUGAUUCCUGCCUGGCCAAUGAUACCCCCCAGUCAUAGUGAUUGAUACAGGAAUGGACAUGUGACCCAGGCAAAGACAGAGAUGUGGAGACUCUUGCUAGGACUUUUGGGGAAAAGAUGCUCAGCUAUUUGAAGUUGUGUGGAUGUGAGGCCAGAGUUGCUGCUGCUGUUUUGCUACCAUCACAUGAGAACCUACCUGAGAAUGGAGUCAACCCUCAGAGAAAUGGAGCCAGGAAAUGAGGUACAAGAAUCCAGGACCAGGGCACUAUUUUGUACCCCAGAUCACCUCCUUCCUGGAGCCACUUGGCCCCCUGGAUUUUUCAAUUACUGAGUGUCUGAAACCUCUCAUAGUUUAGACCUGGCUCAAAUGCUUCUUCAUCCAAUAAACAAACCCUGCUUUCCUGAGCUAGAAGAACUCUCUCCCUUUGAAUUCCCAGAGCAUUUUACAAGUUGAUCUGCUAUGACACAUCCCUUACUCUAUUAUAUUCGUGGUUGGUUUGUUUUUUCUUAGAUACAUAGCUUAUCCCCCUGUAGGCUAUUGGCAACUUGAAGGCAGGGCUUACGUUGUCAUUGCCUUUUUAUCUCACAAAGCACACAACAAGAUGUUUUGGACAAAAUGGGUCUCAGUUCACAUUAGUUGAGAGAACAGAUGAAUCAAUAAAAUGAACUUUGUCUCUGAGCGAGCAGUGCACUGUGGGAAGAAACCAGCUUUGCUUCCUGGGAGGAAGAGAACAAACCACUGCUGGAGAUGUUGCAAUAGUCCAAGCUACCAAAUCAAGAAGAGGUGGAGAAAGAGGCGGGGCUUGACAAGGACACAAGCCAGGCAGAUCCAGCACUGUGCGCAAGAAAGCUGUAAGAACCCAGAAGGCAAGUGUAUAGAAAAUUCCCUGGCUCACUCCAGGGCUUCAUUUAGCCAAGAAUGUCAUGAGUGUCUGGGUCAGUGACUUGUACAGAGUUUCUGAAUUAGCUACCAUUUACUGGAUGCUUAGUGCUUGCCAGGCAUUGUGCUAAGCACUUGACAUGCAUCACCUCAUUUAGUCCACAAAAUAACUCCGUGAGUUAUUCCUCCCAUUUUACAGACAAGGAAACUGGAGUGCAGAAAGAUGAGUAAUAUCUUGCUCCAAGUCACACAGUCACUAAGUGUCAGAUCCAGGAUUUAACCUGAGAGUAUAACCAGUGUGUAAAACGCUUAG